AGAGCGGGAAAAUUUGAAUAUAUGUAAAAGUUCACGCGCAAAGUUAAACAGCGCCACUUUGCGGAAGUUAACGGAAUUACGGAUCGAUAGAAAAUAAGAAGCAAUAGAAAAUAAAAAGCAAUAGAAGAUAUUCACCGAAUAAUCGUCAUCCUGUUAAAGAGAACAAAAAUGGAUUUCAACGUGAAGAAAUUGGUUAAGGAUGCUGGUGCUGCAUUGAGCAGAGUUGUACAGCUAACAGAAGAAACGUUAGGUACAUCUGAGAAAACUGAAUUAGAUGCACAUUUAGAACAUCUCGCUGAAAGAGCAAAUGCAACUAAAACGUGGACAGAAAAAAUUCUCAGGAAUAUGGAAGCUGUACUUACUCCUAAUCCAGGAAAUAGAAUUGAAGAUUUCUUUUAUGAAAAAAUUGAUAAAAAGAAACCCAACAGACUUAGCAAUCUCGAAUACGUAGGCAUCGAUAUGAUAGAAGCUGGAAAUGAUUUUGGUCCUGGUAUCGCUUACGGUAGCUCUUUGAUAAAAGUUGGUCAGUGUCAACAAAAGUUAGGUCAAAUUGAAAGAGAUUUUAUUGGAAUAGCAGCCAAUUGUUAUAUACAACCAUUAAGAAAAUUUUUAGAUGGAGAAAUGAAAACUGUUAGCAAGGAAAUGGCUAUAUUAGAAACCAAAAGGUUGGAUUUAGAUGCAUGUAAAAAUCGAGUAAGAAAAGCAAGAAGCAUGGUGGGCCAACAGAGUGACUCUGGCGUUUCACCCGAAGUAUUACUCGAUCAGGCAGAGAGGGAGCUGAGGGUGGCACAAUCGGAAUUUGAUCGGCAAGCAGAAAUUGCUAAGUUACUUUUAGAAGGAGUAACUAGUUCUCAAGCUGGACAUUUGAGAUGUUUACAUGAAUUCGUUGAAGCACAAGCACGUCAUUACGCUCAAUGUCAUGCGACUAUGCAAGAAUUGCAACGUGAGCUUGCUGGGGCACGUCAGCCGAGUCCUUUGCUCAGAGUCAACAGCGAGGAAGUGAUCGAGCUAACACCCUCACCCACUACUCCAUCCCAAAAUCUAUCUAUAAAUAAUGCUCUCGCUGAUUCAACCUUAACUGGGGGUCCCUAUCACUCGACCGCCUCAACAACAAAUCCUACUGCACAAGUGGAAAAUGGUCAAGAUCGUGCAAGAGUAGUCUGUGAUUAUGAUGCUAGGGAUUCAACCGAGCUUAGUGUCAUGCAAGACGAGGUAACCAAAUUUGUGAUUUAGGUAGAUGACAGCAUGCGUUCCAUGUAUCCAUAAACAAAAGGCAUGAUAUAUUCGUCAUGAACUGUUACACUAUAAUCAAGUUUAUAAAGAAUAAUAUAAGAAGUUCCAUGUGUUAAUACUCAAAUGGAAGUGAUCUAGGAUAAUAAAUUUCUAUUGUAGAAGAAUUGGCAUUAUACUUAUCAUGCGACAAAUAGAUGCAUGAAAAAAUAAUAUUAAUUAACUUUUAAAUAGAUUAAAAUAAUUUUAUAAAUAUAUAUAUA
Molecule: unclassified non-coding RNA, 1493 nt
Filed under: Polistes dominula (European paper wasp)
Lineage: Eukaryota; Metazoa; Arthropoda; Insecta; Hymenoptera; Vespidae
Description: endophilin-B1, transcript variant X1
Source: RNAcentral